UGGCGCACGGGUGCGUAACGCGUAACCAACCUACCCACAACUGGGGGAUAGCCCGCCGAAAGGCGGAUUAAUACCGCAUAAGCUCUGAACUUGGCAUCAAGUUUUUAGUAAAGAUUUAUUGGUUGUGGAUGGGGUUGCGUGCCAUUAGCUAGUUGGUGAGGUAACGGCUCACCAAGGCGACGAUGGCUAGGGGAGCUGAGAGGCUGGUCCCCCACACGGGCACUGAGAUACGGGCCCG
RNAcentral lists this ribosomal RNA (238 nucleotides) under uncultured bacterium. Its description in RNAcentral is "partial 16S ribosomal RNA". It matches the Rfam family "Bacterial small subunit ribosomal RNA", at positions 96 to 334 of the family's 1533-position model. The record is from RNAcentral.